RNAcentral lists this small nuclear RNA (89 nucleotides) under Rhinolophus ferrumequinum (greater horseshoe bat). Lineage: Eukaryota; Metazoa; Chordata; Mammalia; Chiroptera; Rhinolophidae. The record is from RNAcentral.
GUGCUUGCUUCGACAGCACAUAUACUACAAUUGGAACAAAACAGAGAAGAUUAGUGUGGCCCCUAAUUUGUGAAGCAUUCCAUAUUUUU